AUCUAUGGCCAUACCUCCCUCAAUGUGCCCAAUCUCGUCUGAUCUCGGAAGCUAAGCAGGGUUGAGCCUGGUUAUACUUGGAUGGAAAGAAGAUCUUCAGAAGAGACUGCUCAGAGACAGUGUGGAGA
This is a ribosomal RNA of Castor canadensis (American beaver), 128 nucleotides long. NCBI's taxonomy places the organism in Eukaryota, Metazoa, Chordata, Mammalia, Rodentia, Castoridae. The record is from Ensembl.